This 300-nucleotide ribosomal RNA is filed under the name uncultured Lactobacillus sp. RNAcentral's name for it is "bacterial SSU rRNA". It matches the Rfam family "Bacterial small subunit ribosomal RNA", at positions 496 to 795 of the family's 1533-position model. Lineage: Bacteria; Bacillati; Bacillota; Bacilli; Lactobacillales; Lactobacillaceae. The record is from RNAcentral.
GCCAGGUUCGGGCCGGGCGCGGGGGUAAUGAGGAGGGUCCGAGCGUUAAGCGGAAGUACUGGGCGGAAAGCGUGCGCAGGCGGUUUGUUAAGCUAGAUGUGAAAGCCCUGGGCUCAACCUAGGAAUAGCAUUUCGAACUGGCGAACUAGAGUCUUGUAGAGGGGGGUAGAAUUCCAGGUGUAGCGGUGAAAUGCGUAGAGAUCUGGAGGAAUACCGGUGGCGAAGGCGGCCCCCUGGACAAAGACUGACGCUCAGGUGCGAAAGCGUGGGGAGCAAACAGGAUUAGAUACCCGUGUAGUC